RNAcentral lists this long non-coding RNA (410 nucleotides) under Bos taurus (domestic cattle). Its description in RNAcentral is "long non-coding RNA NONBTAT000878". Lineage: Eukaryota; Metazoa; Chordata; Mammalia; Artiodactyla; Bovidae. The record is from RNAcentral.
UAUUGAGUCUAUGUAGGUUGUUAAACAAAGGUUCUAUGGCUCAGUGAAUGAGUGUGCCAUAUCUUUUUCUCCUGGGGAUGCAGAGCAAAUGUAACAAAGUAAGAUCUUAACCUAGUGUGUCUGAAAACUUAGACAUUGAUCCUUCUCUGUGUGACACUUGUGGAACUCUCUUGUGGAAUACAGUUUGGCAACUGCCAGAGAAGCGACGUAGAGUUCUUGGAAUCACAUGCUUCAGAUGUGCACCCAGUACCCCAUCUCCCCAUUGCACCCCCCAGCCCCAUGCCCCUACCAAGCACCCAAGUUUGUGUGUGCUUCCUUAAGGGCAUGUGGUGAUCAUAGUCUGUGGUACCACUUACAGUUUUCUUUAUCUGUCAUAGGUGUUCAUAGUAGAAAAAUAAGCUGCUGAUAAA